AAGACUAUAGACCUGCGGAGUACCUGCGGAAGGAUCAUUAUAGAGUGGUAAACCCCCCGUAAAAGGGGGGGACCUCCUGUCCUUUGUAGGCUCUUUUUUAAAAGGGCUUUUUUUAAUUUUCUGCUUCGGUGGGGUUAUCCCACCGGAACAACCUCAAAACUCUUAUCAAAAAAUCGUUCUGUCUGAGAACCUUUUAUAAUAAAAAAAAACUUUCAGCAACGGAUCUCUAGAUCGGAAGAG
RNAcentral lists this unclassified non-coding RNA (240 nucleotides) under soil metagenome. Its description in RNAcentral is "partial contains 5.8S ribosomal RNA, internal transcribed spacer 2, and large subunit ribosomal RNA". The record is from RNAcentral.